This 465-nucleotide ribosomal RNA is filed under the name uncultured bacterium. RNAcentral describes it as "partial 16S ribosomal RNA". It matches the Rfam family "Bacterial small subunit ribosomal RNA", at positions 28 to 507 of the family's 1533-position model. The record is from RNAcentral.
GACGAACGCUGGCGGCGUGCUUAACACAUGCAAGUCGAACGGACAGGCGCUGCUUGCAGGGUAUUCGCGUGGCGAACGGGUGAGUAACACGCGGGUGAUCUGCCCUGCACUUCGGGAUAAGCCUGGGAAACUGGGUCUAAUACCGGCUAGGAGCUAUUUUUAGUGUGAUGGUUGGAAAGUUUUGUCGGUGUAGGCUGAGAUCGCGGCCUAUCAGCUUGUUGGGGGGGUAAUGGCCUACCAAGGCGGCGACGGGUAGCCGGCCUGCGUGGGUGGACGGCGACAUUGGGACUGAGAGACGGCCGAGACUCCGACGGGAGGCAGAAGGGGGGAAGAUUGCAGAAGGGGCGCAAGCCGGAUGCAGCGACGCCGCGGGGGGGAUGACUGUCUUAGGGUUGAAAACUCAUUUCGCUAGGGACGAAGCAUUUUGUGACGGUACCUAGAUAAGAAGCACCGGCUAACUACGUG